This 439-nucleotide ribosomal RNA is filed under the name uncultured bacterium. RNAcentral describes it as "partial 16S ribosomal RNA". It matches the Rfam family "Bacterial small subunit ribosomal RNA", at positions 339 to 795 of the family's 1533-position model. The record is from RNAcentral.
CUACGGGGGGCUGCAGUGGGGAAUAUUGGACAAUGGGCGCAAGCCUGAUCCAGCCAUGCCGCGUGAGUGAUGAAGGCCUUAGGGUUGUAAAGCUCUUUUAUCCGGGACGAUAAUGACGGUACCGGAGGAAUAAGCCCCGGCUAACUUCGUGCCAGCAGCCGCGGUAAUACGAAGGGGGCUAGCGUUGCUCGGAAUCACUGGGCGUAAAGGGCGCGUAGGCGGCGGUUUAAGUCGGGGGUGAAAGCCUGUGGCUCAACCACAGAAUGGCCUUCGAUACUGGGGCGCUUGAGUAUGGUAGAGGUUGGUGGAACUGCGAGUGUAGAGGUGAAAUUCGUAGAUAUUCGCAAGAACACCGGUGGCGAAGGCGGCCAACUGGACCAUCACUGACGCUGAGGCGCGAAAGCGUGGGGAGCAAACAGGAUUAGAUACCCGAGUAGUC